This is a long non-coding RNA of Osmerus eperlanus (European smelt), 472 nucleotides long. RefSeq lists it as uncharacterized. NCBI's taxonomy places the organism in Eukaryota, Metazoa, Chordata, Actinopteri, Osmeriformes, Osmeridae. The record is from RefSeq and is a predicted model, not a curated record. The transcript has 4 exons.
AGGUGCGAAGGGAGAUCUCGCCCCCCAUCCCCACCCUCCAGAAGAGACACAGGACCCCCCAGUCCACCCCCAGUCCCCCCAGCAUGGACAGCAAACGCCCCACCACCCCCCUGUCUAAGGGCUCUCUUUCAGUGCCCCAGUCCCAGACACCCUCUGUCCCAGCUGUUAAGAAGGAGCUGGGAGCUGCAGGCUGCCUACCAGAGUACAACAGGGAAGUGCUCUGUAAGUUGACUGCAAUCCGUAAAAAGCUGCUCAGAGAGCAGAAACGGGUGAAGGGCCAGAUGAUGCGCUCAGAGUGAGAGGAGCUGGACUCACUUGACAGGAUGGAGGCUUCCGGGGAGCCUAUCAGACUUCCAGAUGACUACAUCCUGUCAAGGUGUGGUCGAAGAGGGUGGACCCAAAGAACAUGGGGAAAUACUGACACACAAACAUGAAGACACAAGAACGUGACAAGGACUGUCAAAGGGAGCAA